UCCUCAACUCAGCUGCACUCCACCCUCCAGUCCAGUAGGUGGCAGAAUCUGCACCUUUACACUGUUUGCCAAACACCAGUAAACAGAAGAAGAAAGUUGUUUGAAAACGCCUCAUCUUAAACCCUUCAGAAACCCUGCUGUUUCCAGCUCUCAGAUAAGACCAGUGUCUGAUGAUCUUGUGUAAAUGAUUGUCUGUGCAAAUGAUGUGGAGUUUUGUUGAUUAGUCUUUAAUGAGGUUAUUGGUUUGUGGAGGCUUGUGUUUAUACUGUAACUCUUAUAUUUGUCUGAGAACAUGUUAAAGAUGAAGCAGCAUCUGUCUAGUGCACUAUCACAGCUGAGCAAGAAGACAAGCACAAGAAUAAAAUCCCCACAUUCUCUCCAUCAGCUCAUCUACAGAUCAGAUCAGUGAAGCGAGUGAUCAGCUGUAACUCACGGCCUGUUUGUUGGCUGAGUGUUAGAGAAAUGAUGGUGAAUUCACCACAGCUCUGUGUUUAAUCUGUCUCAGACACCAUCAAGCAGAUCUAUAAUAGUGGAGGAACCCUUUCUGCUUACCUGGUGAUGCUGACCGGGCGAGAGGAGCAGGAGAGAACACACGGACAGGUGAACCACUGAGCAAACACUGGAGGAGAAACACACAGAGAGGCUGUGAUUGCGGUGCAGGUCAGUGUAAUCCUGCAGAGUGUACCUGCGGUGGAGUGUGAUGCUGAGCAUGGAAACCCUACAGAUGUAGAAAUCCUGCUUCAGCUUGCUCUCCUCGCUUCAUUUAACAGUAGUGGUGGGCAAAGUGAGGCUUCAUGAAACUGAAACAGUCGAAGCAAAUGUGUCAAAGCUUUGAAACGUUUCAAAACUCUACAGUGACACCCAGUGGUAAUUGUUAUACAUUGCUCUGGAACAGCUUCAGCAAAGAACAAUUGAGCAAAUUGAGGUAUUAAAACCCACUUUGUACCUUUGAACCUACAAGUGUUAUAGCAGAGCGGUCAGAGUUCCUGACUAUU
Molecule: non-coding RNA, 995 nt
Organism: Danio rerio (zebrafish)
Lineage: Eukaryota; Metazoa; Chordata; Actinopteri; Cypriniformes; Danionidae
Source: RefSeq, a predicted model, not a curated record